This 250-nucleotide ribosomal RNA is filed under the name uncultured delta proteobacterium. Its description in RNAcentral is "partial 16S ribosomal RNA". It matches the Rfam family "Bacterial small subunit ribosomal RNA", at positions 524 to 773 of the family's 1533-position model. The record is from RNAcentral. Lineage: Bacteria; Deltaproteobacteria.
UACGGAGGGUGCAAGCGUUAUUCGGAAUUACUGGGCGUAAAGCGCGUGCAGGCGGCUCGAGAAGUCUGAUGUGAAAGCCCCGGGCUUAACCUGGGAAGUGCAUUGGAAACUCUCGGGCUUGAGUGCUGGAGAGGAAGGGAGAAUUCCCGGUGUAGAGGUGAAAUUCGUAGAGAUCGGGAGGAACACCAGUGGCGAAGGCGCCCUUCUGGACAGCAACUGACGCUGAGACGCGAAAGCGUGGGGAGCAAAC